This 113-nucleotide ribosomal RNA is filed under the name Nuclearia simplex. RNAcentral's name for it is "5.8S ribosomal RNA". It matches the Rfam family "5.8S ribosomal RNA", at positions 1 to 112 of the family's 154-position model. Rfam says of the family: 5.8S ribosomal RNA (5.8S rRNA) is a component of the large subunit of the eukaryotic ribosome. It is transcribed by RNA polymerase I as part of the 45S precursor that also contains 18S and 28S rRNA. The record is from RNAcentral. Lineage: Eukaryota; Rotosphaerida; Nucleariidae.
CAACUUUUAACAAUGGAUCUCUGGGCUCUCGCAACGAUGAAGAACGCAGCGAAAUGCGAUAGGUAUGGGGAAUUGCAAAAUUCUGUGAAUCAUCAAAUCUUUGAACCCAAUCU